This 124-nucleotide ribosomal RNA is filed under the name Sphingobacterium wenxiniae. Its description in RNAcentral is "23S rRNA. Bacterial LSU". It matches the Rfam family "Bacterial large subunit ribosomal RNA", at positions 2785 to 2925 of the family's 2925-position model. The record is from RNAcentral. Lineage: Bacteria; Pseudomonadati; Bacteroidota; Sphingobacteriia; Sphingobacteriales; Sphingobacteriaceae.
GUGCGAAACCGGCCACGAGAUGAGACUUCUGAUAAGGGCCGUGGGAGAUGACCACGUCGAUAGGCCAUAGGUGUAAAGGUUGAGAGACCAAAGCCGAGUGGUACUAAUAGCCCGGGACUUUCCA